CAGACUGAAGGAGGAGGCGUCCAGGUAAUCAGACCCAUAAUAACCCAGCAUGAAAAUGCCACAACAGGUAAGAAAUGAGGAGGAAGCCAAAGCAGGGAGGAUAGCUCCACAAAGUCUUGCCACGAAUUCAGCUAACAGAUGGAGUAACAAUGAAC
RNAcentral lists this long non-coding RNA (155 nucleotides) under Chinchilla lanigera (long-tailed chinchilla). RNAcentral describes it as "lncRNA (ENSCLAG00000023707.1)". The record is from RNAcentral. Lineage: Eukaryota; Metazoa; Chordata; Mammalia; Rodentia; Chinchillidae.